Hemicordylus capensis (graceful crag lizard) is the source of this 16061-nucleotide RNA transcript. It is a transcript of the gene named CUGBP Elav-like family member 6, with no coding region annotated. Lineage: Eukaryota; Metazoa; Chordata; Lepidosauria; Squamata; Cordylidae. The record is from RefSeq and is a predicted model, not a curated record. The transcript is spliced from 15 exons.
CCAGCCGCGGGCGCGCAAAGCGAGGCAGAGCCGAGCCGAGUGAGCCGAGCCGAGCCAGGCAAAAAGCAAGGCAAGGCCAGGCCAGGUAAGGGGGGGAGGCGGGACGGUGGGGGGAGGCACUCUGGGCUCGGCGCGGAGAGGGGGAGCCCGGGCUGGGCAGCCCCCUCCCCCUGCGAGGCGCGGGCACAGGCAGGCAGCAGGCAUCGGGGCGGGGCGGCCGGGGCGGGGCAGAGUCGGCUGGGAACAUCAUGGCUACUCUGGCCAACGGGCUAGCGCAGCAGCAGCAUCAGCAGCAGCAGCAACCUCCCCCCGGGCCCCCGCCCCCGCCGCCGCCGCCUCCUCCGCCUCCGCCGCCGCAGGCGGAGAGCGCUGCCUUCAGCACCACGAACAGCUCCGGGAGGAUGAACGGGCUGACGCACGGCGGCCAGGGCGCCAUCGCCAUGAAGGACCACGAUGCCAUCAAGCUCUUCGUCGGGCAGAUCCCGCGCAACCUGGAGGAGGGCGACUUGAAGCCGCUCUUCGAGGAAUUUGGCAAGAUCUACGAGCUCACCGUGCUCAAGGACCGCUUCACCGGCAUGCACAAAGGCUGUGCCUUUCUGACAUAUUGCGCCCGGGACUCUGCCCUGAAAGCCCAGAGUGCACUGCAUGAGCAGAAGACAUUGCCUGGGAUGAAUCGCCCAAUCCAAGUGAAGCCGGCGGACAGCGAGGGCCGAGGAGAAGACAGGAAGCUCUUUGUGGGCAUGCUGGGGAAGCAGCAGAGCGAGGAUGACGUCCGGCGACUCUUUGAGCCCUUUGGCCAGAUUGAAGAAUGCACCAUCCUCAGAGGCCCAGAUGGAGCCAGUAAAGGAUGUGCCUUUGUCAAAUAUGGGAGCCAUGCAGAAGCCCAAGCAGCUAUCAGCAGUCUCCACGGCAGCCAGACCAUGCCGGGCGCUUCCUCCAGCCUGGUGGUGAAGUUUGCCGACACAGACAAGGAGAGGACCCUGCGACGGAUGCACCAGAUGGCAGGACAGCUGGGGAUCUUUAAUCCCAUGACGAUCCAGUUUGGCGCCUACGGGGCAUAUACACAAGCGAUCAUGCAGCAGCAGCAGGCAGCCCUGAUGGCCGCAGCACAAGGAACCUGCCUCAACCCCAUGGCUGCCAUCGCAGCCGCUCAGAUGCAGCAGAUGGCUGCCUUCAACGUGAGCGGGCUGGUCGCUGCCCCCAUGACACCCUCAUCAGGUACAAGCACACCUCCAGGGAUCAGCACAGCCCCUGUCCCCAGCAUAGCCACACCCAUCGGGGUGAAUGGAUUCAGCCCUCUCCCACCCCAGACCAAUGGGCAGCCAGCAUCAGAAACUAUUUACACCAAUGGCAUCCAUCCAUACCCAGCUCAAAGUCCCACUGUGGCAGACCCCCUCCAACAAGCCUACGCAGGCAUGCAGCACUAUGCAGCAGCAUAUCCAGCCGCCUAUGCACCGAUCAGCCAGGCCUUCCCCCAGCAAGCACCCAUCAUCCCCCAGCAGCAAAGAGAAGCUACCUGCUUUGAUUGUAAUCAGUGGUGUCAAUCUCAUCAACAAGGUCCUGAAGGAUGUAACCUCUUCAUUUAUCACCUGCCCCAGGAGUUUGGGGAUGCAGAGCUUAUGCAGAUGUUUUUGCCAUUUGGCAAUGUCAUCUCUGCCAAAGUCUUUGUUGACCGGGCCACCAACCAAAGUAAAUGCUUUGGUUUCGUUAGUUUCGACAAUCCAACUAGUGCUCAGGCAGCCAUUCAGGCCAUGAACGGCUUCCAGAUCGGCAUGAAGAGGCUAAAGGUACAACUAAAGCGGCCAAAAGAUGCCAACAGACCCUACUGAGCCCUGCUCACCCUGGCCCUGGAAACAGACCAGGCCAAUCAUAGCUCCAAGAUGACCCCACAGUUGCCUAGCAACCCUCUAGCUGUUAUGGGAGACCCAAACAAAAACUCCCCCUCCCAAAUUAUCAGAAACUAUUGAAUGCCAUGCGGCAUACGAAGAGUAUUCCCCUUGUCCCAAGUGCAGUAUCCAGACUUGUAACUCUCUUUCUUUGCAACAUAUCAUGGAGGUGGAGGCGGCAGCGGCGAAAGCGGAGGAGAGAUGCGAAUGAAAAAGAGAGCCAGUUUGGUUGUACCUUUCUUUUCUUUCUUUCUUUCUUUCUUUUUUUGAUUUCCAAAACGAGUUGGGUUUUGUCUCUUUAAGGCGUGAGAAAGCAAAGAAGCUGUUGUGGUGACCGUGUUGGACAAGAGGGGGAAAAGAGGCAUGGAUCUUUGCUGACUCAAAACUCCAUGACAGGAAGAGGCCUCUGGAGAAGACCUUUUUUUUCCAGCCCCUCGCCACCAGAGGGGUGAGAUGGUGUGAGAGGGAAGGUCGCGGGCGCUCGGCCUGCUGGUGUGACCUGCCUCUCUCGAGCACUUGUCCGAUGCGAGAGACUUCGUAUGAGGGAGGCCAAGCAGAUCUAAACCAAAGCCGGUGGGUUUGGACCAGGCCGAUACGUCACACCUGGGAAAUGCUUUGUUUUUAAAGGGGAAAGCGGAAAAAACCAAGGGAUUUUUUCCCCCACCUCUGUUUGGGAAAAGAAAAUCAAAUGCUAAGAAGAUGUUGAACUUAACAGAAGAUAUAUAUAUAUAAAUAGGUCUAUAUAUCUAUAUCCCAUGGAUUGGGGGUGGGGGUUUCUUCUCCACUUUGUCCACCAGUUCAGGGAGAUUGGAUUAACUUCUUUCAAAGUCAUAUCAUUCCUUAGAGUUUAGGGACCAAAGGACUAUUGCUUUUUUAAUAUAUAUAUAAAUUAAUUAAUUUAAAAAACAAAACAAAUGAAAAAAAAGAAACUCAAAGAGGUUUAAAAAAAAAAAAAGCUUCAUGUCAAAGCUCCAAGUGUUUCCAAGAGAAGCAAGUGCAAGUGCGCAAGCAAGCAGAUGUGGCUUUGUGCGCCAGUGUGGCAUGUACCCAUGGCCUCGGGACCGCAUCGGACGCUGGAGGGGGCCGAGGGAGCGGAGAAGCUGGCAGGAAGGGCCAUUUGGGCGGGCUUCGCGGUCACUGUGGCUCUCUCCUCCUCUUUCCAGGUAGAACCUUGGCUUUCAGAAAAUGGGUGGGUGGGAAAUGUCAUUGCAGCCCCUGACCUGCUCCUCCCAUGCUUCAGAAGGAAACAUCAGCCAGUGUGAGAAGAGACACAGGGCCAUCAUUUUCAUCCCUGUACGGAGUCAAUCCAAAUUACUAGCUUCUUCUGUACCAGGACCGGAAAAUGGUGGCAUCCGUAUCUCAACAGUGGCUGGGGCUCUCCAUCAUUUUCAGUGAGUGGGUGCAGCAUCACGAGGAACCUACUUGCAGUCUUGGUCACCCAGUCGGGUUACAAUCUCAGUUACCCAGUUGUCUGUGACGGUGUGAACCCGCUCUAUGUCGGGAGCUACCAUGUUCCUUCGGGGCAGGAAACCUAGAUGGGGAACCCAGAAUUGAACUUGGGUUUCCACCCCAGUAAUGCUCUGCCAUAGCUUUGCCCUGCUUUUGGGCCCCUGCUUUUUAUGAACUCUGGUAUUCUGGGGGCCAGUCCCCUUUCACAUCGGGGCCAAGGGCUGCAAAGGGGCUGAUGUCGGGAAGCUUACCAGUCACAGGGAAGUGCAAGGUUGGGAUGGCGCCCAGGGUCUUCCUGGGAGGUGCAGGGAGGGGGGCAAACCUCUGGUUCAAUUCGGCAACUUCCAGCAAACCAAGGUCCUUGACUGUCUGCCCUGCCAACUUCAAGUUCCUGCCAUAUCUCAUGCUGGGAGAACCAUAGGUUCCCCAAAUACGUGUCAAUCCACCCAGUGAGCCCUUUCUCAUGAUCCGUGAGAAAGGGCUUGAAGGGGCAGGGGAGGAAACCUCGAAAAGCUCACUCCCCGCAGAUGAUCUCCGUCACUUUGCUUGGUGGGUCGAUCACCCGCCCAGAUUAUUGCCGGCUUCUGCCGGCAGCUGGGAGGUUUCGGGAAGCUUCCGGACCUGCCCGUAAGGCACUGAGCAGGGGUUAUUAUGGGGAUUCCCCCAACGCCGGCCGAGAGCCCCACAUUCUCCCUGGUGGACAACUUUUAAAAAUGGGCUUGCUCCCUAACCUCAUUUUAAAGGCAGGUUAGGAGGCAGGUUUGCGUCUUGGACCCACAUGGCGCCCAGCGGUUCUGCCGCUCAGCCCAGAGCGGGCUUCUCUUUCUUAGCCCGGCUUUGGCUGAGUGUCAGAACGGCCUCAGUGUCUCCUACCGCUCCCCUUCCAAUCUGCUUGGACACCCCAAGAGCGAUGUCAAAAAGCUAGAUACCGAGUUGAAGUCUGCUUCUCCAUCUGUCCCCUGGAAGGGCAAAUUUGAAAAAUGGCUUCAUCCAGCAGAUUGGCUACAGAGAGCUUUAUUCCAUUUCCAUCCUACCCUCCCUUACCAGAGUUCAAGGCGACACAGCUGAUUCUCCCCGACACCUUCAUCCUCACAACAACCCUGUGAGGUAGGCUAGGCUGAGAGAGACUGGGCCAAGGCCACCCAGGAAGCUUCAGGGCUGAGUGGAGAUUUGAACCUGUGUCUCCCUAGUCGAAGUCAAGCACUCUGCGGUUGCACUGCACUGGCUCUGUGGAGCUGCGUUCCUGCAGGCCCCCCUCAUCCAUUUCAGCAGACGCCAAGAACCAUAAACUUUCUCCUCCAGCUUGUCCCUUUACCCCUGAUACGAUCUGGAACGGGAUCCUGUUGUGCCUCAGCUUUGCAAGCACUAGCCCAGGGCUUCUCAGCCAGAUGUUUUUGGAUUACAACUCCCAUGAUCCCCUUUGACUGCUGUGGCUAGGGAGGAUGGGAGUUGUACUCCCAUCAGCAACUUCUGGGAGGCUGAGCUUGAGAAGCCCUGAACUAGCCAGUGUUGGGGCAGUACCUGUUAGGGGCAGAAGGAGAGCUCAGUCUUGUCUUCACAGACUGGUAGCGACUUCUCCAAGGUUGCAGGCAGGAAUCUCUCUCAGCCCUGUAUUGGAGAUGCUGCCAGGGAGGGAACUUGGAACCUUCUGCUCUUCCCAAAGCGGCUCCAUCCCCUGAGAGGAAUAUCUUCCAUUGCUCACACUUCUAGUCUCCCAUUCAUCUGCAACCAGGGUGGCCCCUGCUUAGCUAAGGGGACAAGUCAUGCUGGCUCCCACCAGACCAGCUCUCCCCUUGGUCCAUCUAGCACACUACACUGACUGGCAUCAGCUCUCCAAGAUUUCAGGCAGAGUCUUUCCCGACCUGGAGAUGCUGCCAGGGAUUGAACCUGGGUCUUUCUGCAUGCAAGCAGAUUCUCUGCCUCUGAGCUGUGCCACUGAGAUGUCCCUAGUAGAUACCAUGUGUUAUUAGGCAAUUGAGCCACAAGAGCUCAAUAGAGGAGAAAGUCUAAGCAUGAUGCUUGUGGGACCCAUGACUCUUCCGCCCCCUUUUGCUUUGCCUUUCUAAUGCCAGACACCAUAAGCCUAAGGGUGAAGACUGCCCAUCGUAUUUGAUGCAAAGACAAGAAAAAAGCACAUUUCUCAUUUCUUCCAAAGAGGAAAUCUUUUGUGCCCAACCCCAUCCCUCUUCACAUGCUCCCUUUUCCCUGUUGAGCGGAACAUUUGGGCCAGAGAGCCCUGGAGUCUUUUUAAGUAUUUGCAGAGAGAGAGAGAGAGAUUGUAAGGCAGGAGUGACCAUCACAAGGGCUUGGCUGCAGGCAGAAUCGGAGCAGAACGUGGGGCCCACAAGCUCAGAUCACAUCAGGCUGUUCUGCCAGGCCGCAGCCCCUGCCAUAUAUGAAGAACCGCUCCCGUUGUGAGAUCCGUUCCCUGUGUUUGAUUCCCCAGAAGACCUGUGCCUUCAGUCUGGCUUCUCCGUAAAAGCACAUGCGGAGCAGAGUUCCCUCUAACGGCGAUUCCCAGAUGUCGUUGACUACAACUCCCAGAAUUCCCACACAAAAGCCAUUAUAGCCGGGGAUUCUGGGAGUUGUAGUCAGCAACAUCUGGGAAUCCCUGUUAGAGGGAACACCGACAUGGAGUGUUCCUUGUGUAGACAAAGGGCUCCCACUCACCUCUUGGAUUGAACCCGGAACCAAGGAGUCAGUGGGAGCUGCAGGAUUAUUUUGCCCUUAACAACACACACACACACACACACACACCCCUUUUGAGUAGUCUUUUUGUCUGGAUAACAGUGAAGCACCAUAAGACCGUAAAAGCAGCCCUGCUGGAUCAGGCCCAAGGAAGCCCAUCUAGUCCAGCAUCCUGUUUCACACAGUGGCUCAGCAGACGCCUCUGGGGUGCCCACAGGCAAGAGGCGAGGGCUACCUUGAUACUGCCACAAAAAUUAAGACCACUAGCCUUUCAAGCAAUGGUCAUAAUAAUAAUGGCAACAGAUUGAUAAUUGGUUUAAAUGUUAUUAUCCCAAAGCAGAAGACAAUGGGCAGACAGCCUGACUGAACGCUUGCACAAAUUUGCACUGAUGCAAGAAGGUUGCACAGUCAUGCAAAGCUGUGCUCCAUGAUGUUGCACAACAGCCAUAGAAAUAGGCCCUUCCAUACUGCUAUAAGUAAAGUAAAGUAUGCCUUCAAGUCGGUGUUGACUCCUGGCGCCCACAGAGCCCUGCGGUUGUCUUGGGUAGAAUACAGGAGGGGUUUACCAUUGCCUCCUCCCAUGCAGUAUGAAAUGAUACCUUUCAGCAUCUUCCUAUAUCGCUGCUGCCUGAGAUAGUACCAGCGGGGAUUUGAACCGGCAACCUUCUGCUUGUUAGUCAAGCAUUUCCCCACUGUGCCAUUAGGUGGUUCCCAUACUGCAAUACACUGUAUAUAUAUUAUUUUUAAAAAAACAACAACAACACCAAUGUUAAGUUAUAAUGUAUAUUGACAUUACAUCAAGCAGGUGGGGGGAAGGAUGAAGUGUGGUGUUCCAAAAUGUAACAAAUAUAAUCAAUUUUCCCUAAAUUCAUCUACUUCUUUUUCAUCCUGUUAAGGACUGUUAGUUUUCCAAAUUUUCAAAUACCAAUCUGACAGUGGGGGGAAGAGCAACUUUUUUCCAUAACUCGAUAUGUAAAUUUUAAGAGAUUUUAGAAUUUUACCACUCAGAUGUUGCUUCAGAGUUUGCAGAGGUAUGGGCCAUAAUAUGCAGUUUAGAAGGCCUCCCCCAACUUACCUUGAUUUCACAGGAAAGGAGAGCCGGUCUUGUGGUAGCAAGCAUGGCUUGUCCCUUUAGCUAAGCAGGGUCUGCCCUGGUUGCACACGAAGUGUGAGCACUGCAAGAUAUUCCCCUUUGGAGAUGGAGCUGCUCUAAGAAGAGCAGAAGGUUCCAAGUUCCCUCCCUGGCAGCAUCUCCAAGAGAGAGCUGAGAGAGAUUCCUGCCUGCAGCCUUGGAGAAGCCGCUGCCAGUCUGCGUAGACAAUACUGAGCUAGAUGGACCAACCGUCUGACUCGGUAUAUGGCAGCUCCCUAUGUAAAAACACCUGUGUUUGCAGCCAGUGAAGAAAGAAGGCAGCAAAAGCAAGCUGCAAUUUCCCCACAGUUCCUAGGACAGCAUGUGAAGGUAAGGGAGCCUCUCCCAAUUGCCUGAGCAAUUGGGUCAACACAUCCUUACCUUCCAGUUGUUCAAGAGCUGGGAGCUGUCCACAGUGCUGAAAGAUGGGCAAAAUCCAGCCUUUUAAACCCAAAUUAACAGAAAGGCUAUACAAAGUUGGAGCUGAUGUUUCAGCCCAGCCAUUUUUUAAAAAUAAGUGAUGAGUCCGUUUCUUCUGUAGCAUUCCUUUAUUGUUUCCAAAUUUCACAAUAUUGUCGUUCAGUUCUUCCUGAAUUCCAGUUUAACUAAGAGACUUUCUAAAAUUCUAGAAUUGGUGUAUGCACAAUUUCACCUCAUUUUAUUUAUUAUUAUUUAUUUAUCAUAUUUCUAUUCUGCCUGAUAUAGACCUCUCUAGGCAGUGUAUAAAGUUAAAACAUAAUAAAUGUAAAAUCAGUAUAAAAGAGUUAAAAUUUAUAAAACAGAUAAAAAAAUCUCAGUGAACAAAAACAUUAAAGAAGAUUUAAAUCUCAGUUAAAGGCUGGGAAAUACAGAUACGUCUUAAGGGUCUUCCCAAGAGAAAGUCGAGAGGGAGAUGCUCUUAUUUUAACAGGGAGUGUGUUCCAGAGUGCAUCUUCCCCUUGCACAUCUUCCAUGUGCAUCUUCCUCUCUCCCUUAUACUGAGUCAAACCAUUGGUCCAUCUAGCUCAGGAUUAUGGACACUGCCUGGCAAUGGUUCUCUAAGGUUUCAAACAGGAGUCUUUCCCAGCCCUACCUGGAGAUGCUGCCAAGGAGUGAACCUGGGAGAUUCUUCAUACAAAGCUCUACCAAAGUCCAGGACCUCAAACAGCCCCUGGGCCCCCCCAAAUAAUCUUCAGUCUGUCCUGGGUGUUAUGUUCGCCCGGUGGAGCAUGGUGAUGCAUCAUUUGCAGAGGAGGGGGCCUCCAAAGGCCUUUAGGUCCAGACUCCAAAAUUACCUAGGUCCACCUCUGCUUGCUUCCACAUACUCACUUCCACCCAGCUUUUCCUCCUACCUUGCUUCCACACAACCAGAAAUUGGGAGCACACACAACUCCCAAACCCAAUUAACCCUGUUUUUAAUUGUGUGAAUGCAUUUAAACUAGUUUUGAUAUGCCACUGCCUUGUGGCAUACUUGGGGGGUUAGGGGAGCUUUAGCCCUCCCCUGCCAUGGUCCCGGUCUGGGUCAGAUCCCACCCACCGACCCCACCCCCACAUACAUAUACUACUACUGCUAUGAAUAUUUAUAUACCAAAGUUCUCAAAGCAGAAAAAGAAAUAAUAAAUAAGAUCCAUCCACCCCCCGCCGUCCCCAAAAGGCUCACAGUCCAAAAUGAAGCAUAAGGCAGAUACCAGCAACAGCCACUGGAGGGAUGCUGUGCCGAGGUUGGAUAGGGCCAGUUGCUCUCCCCCUGCUAAAUGGAAGAGAAAUCGCCAGUUUAAAAGAUGUCUCUGCUCAGUUCGUAGGAGUACGAUCUUCCCUGGGGAGAAAAGCUUUCAUUGGCUCCAGCCAGGGCAAAUCACAUGCAUGGUGAGGCAUGAUCCACAUCGAGACCCUGGUGGGAACAUCAGGUUAAAACCUCUUGCCGGUCACAAUUUGAAUUGGGCAUGUGCUAUUUGCACACAAAGAGCAAGCACGCCAGAGUCAGUGGCUUGACCGAUGUCCCGACUUCUUUGAUCUUUUCUUCCGAGAAGCUGAUGGAGAGGAGGAGGUCAGGGGUUGUGGUGGGGAUGGGGCGGGGGGCAAGAUUAAGAAAGUGCCAAAUAGAAGGAAAGGAAGUCAAGGCGCAUGAAGGACCUGGAGUUGUUGCGUCGCCCUUCAUGGUUCACAUUCCCUGAUGCGGUCGCUUGGCCUCUGGAUUUCUUUCCUUUUCCUCCUUUCUUUCCUUUUCCCCUUUUUUGUGCUUCAUUGUUAACAUUUCCUAGUGAUUUAGAACAGAAUGCUUUUUGUAGAGCGGUUAGCGUUUAAACAUAGGAGAGCCCUCCAUUUGAAACAAAGGAAACCUAAAAACAAGACAACAACAACAAAAAAGACAAUCGACUUGAGUGACCUUGUGAAAGUGACUUUUUUUAAUAUAACAAAAAAGCAAAACAAAAUGGGGAGGGGGGAUCACAUGACACUGAGAGACCCAAAUUGGGGUGGGUGGGGCGGUGGGGUACUGAGACAUGAUUGCAGAGUUAUGGGCGGCUGUGUGAAAUGGGUGGGAGUGGGAGAUGGGGAAGAGUUGGGACAGGGUCUGGCUGGCUCCACUGGGUGAUGAUGGGAAGGAAAUGCAUGGACUGGAAAGGGCUGGCCCCCUCUGGGAUAACUGGUCUGCGGAGUCCAGGGACCCAUUUCCACACGGUCAAAACCAGAGCGGCAUUGGCUGUGUUUCCCCAGGCAUUCUCUGGAAAGCUGAAAAGUGGGAUAUGUGUCUUAAGAAUGGGGUAGGGGUUGUGUUGAGAUCCUAGCUAUUAUUAGUUCUAAGAACUAUCUCUAUAAAGGCCCUGACCUACCAGGAGACCCACCACACACACACACACACACACACACACAAAACUGCCUUUUAAAGUGGUGCAGCCCAUUCGACCAUUCGAUUUCUAUCCCGCCCUUCCAAAAAUGGCUCAGGGCAGUUUACACAGAGAAAUAAUAAAUAAAUAAGAUGGCUCCCUGUCUCCAAAGGGCUCACAAUCUAAAAAGAAACAUAAGGAAGACACCAGCAACAGUCACUGGAGGUCCUGUGCUGGGGGUGGAUAGGGCCAGUUACUCUCCCCCUGCUAAAUAAAGAGAAUCACCACGAUAAAAGGUGCCUCUUGCCCAGUUUGCAGGGGAUAGAGUAUCUCCUGCCAGUUAGAAUAUUUAUGCAUUUUAAAAAAAAUUAAUUAUCUAAUUUCAUAUGGGAGAGCAACUUUCUUUGGGCACAGGGGCUCAAACACUGAAACUAUUCUGAUAUAUUCAGCAAUGGGUGGUCUGCAUUUUGAAAUAGCCCUGCUCCAGUAGGCUGUGGCUAUUAUAUGCUUGCAUAUAUUUGGAAGGAAUAUGCAAAUGAACCCACCCACCCCUUCCCCGCCCAUUCUGUCUGGGAGGGGUGGCAUCCACCCUUUCCAUUUCCAAAGAGCCAGGUCAUUUGCUGUGGGGGGAAAUCCAUUUUUCCAAGGAUUUUCUCCCAAAUCAUGAUGCUUUCGGAGUGGUGGCAUCUCUGAGUGCUUGCUAAAUUGGGCCUGAAUACAUACAAAUAGGACAAAUAUGUAUAUACUGCUUUUCAACAUAAUGUUCCCAAAGCAGUUUACAUAGAUAUCCAUACAUAAAUAAUAUGGUUCCUUGUCCCCAAAGGGCUCACAAUCUAAAAAAGAAACAUAAGACAGUAGCCACCGCCACUGGAGGGAUGCUGUGCUGGGGAUGGAUAGGGCCAGUGGCUCUCCCCGUGCUCAAUAAAGAGAAUCACCACUUUGAAAAGGGGCCUCUUUGCUCUGAUAGCUUCAUACAGUCUGUGCGAACAAGGGAGGCAGGGAGGCGGGCAGUCUGCAGCACUGACCCCAUUGGGUGGACCCACCCCCCCUGGCCUCGACCUCAUUGGACGGCCUGUGUUGACUGCAUACAGUCGCCCAAUCGUAUCUCCACCCCCAGUUCCAGGAGCAUUAGUAACUCCCCACCUUGCUCAAAUCGAAGCAGUCCCUUCCUGCCUAUUCCACUUCCCAAUACCCCUUUCAUAGCAGUGGGAAUUCUCUGUGUCUGUGAUCAGGGAAGGUGGCCGUAUAUCAACUCAGAGCUGGUUCUUCCUUUAAAGCAGGAUGUCAGUUUCAAGUGGGACAAAGGGCCAGGUUCUCCGCUCGGCUGUCGUCUAGUGGGGGUUAUACCCAUCACAAAGAAGAGAGUGCCUUGGAGCACGUGCAGAGAAACCUGCUCUUGCUAGCACUGGCUACUGUUAUGGCACAUGUGCUGGACAAGUGGCUAUGAGUCUCUUUGCCUUUGUGUACGUGGAAAGAAACAGGCCUUCACUGUCGUUUUCGGCCAUAGAUGGCGCAAGGGUCAGAGAGAUCUUUUUUUUUUUAAAAAAAAAAUCUUCCAAGAACUCUGUUUGGUGUUGCUGUUUGGGCAUACGAAUAUGAAUACGAUGAAUAUUUACAUACGGCUUCUCAACCAAAGUUCCCCAAGUGGUCUACAUCGAUAUUAAUUAAUUAAUUAAAUGGCUCCCUGUCCCCAAAGAGCUCACAAUCUUUUUUAAAACAAAAAACAAAAAAAACCCACCAAAAAAACAUAAGAUAGACACCAGCAACCGUCACUGGAGGGAUGCUGUGCUGGGGACGGAUAGGGCCAGUUGCUCUCCCCCUGCUAAAUAAAGAGACGCACCCCUUUUAAAGGGUGCCUCUUUGCUCAGUUAGCAGAGAAUUCUACCCAGCAGCAGUGGCAAGUAUCAGAAGAGAGCUGUUGAGCAUUUGAGGUUCGCUUCUGAGGCGCCACGUCCCUGCAGGAACAGCCAUUGGUUCUAAAGAAGUAUUUGCAAAGAGAUCUCCUAAUCCUUCGCCACCAUCACUAAAAUGGUGGUGGAAUUGUACAGGUGCGGGCUGGAUUCCGAUCAGAUUCCUGAACCACUUGUCUUGGCAUCCUCUGCUUUGAAGGGCCCAGGGCUGGGGGGUGUGCCAUCGGAUUUCUGCAGCUUAUCUUUCUAGGUGAGAAUCCAAACAGCCAUGAUCUCCCAGUCACACUGUGACAGCCUUUGCUCCUGUGUGUGUCCCCCACUUCCCCCUUUGGUUUCUGCUUCUGGUGACUGCCAGCUAUGCACAGCAGCUGUAUAUAACAAGAUCGCUUUUAAAAAUGCAAUUUGAUGGACUGACUUUAUGCACUCGGAGUUCACACAUGCAAGAGAUUCCGUUGGGUUUGUGUGACAAAAAGGAAGUGGGCGGGCGAGCUGUGUCCUAAAGACACCUGCUGUUUGGGCAUGAAGUCCCCUGCGGUGGUGGGGACAAGGGGAAGGGUGGGGGGUUGUCUUUAAAGGAGGGGGUGGGCGAUGGGCAAAUGGUCGGUACCACCUGCUCAUUAGAUCCUUAUCAGCCCAGAAUAGAGUUUGGUCCAUGGGGAAAGAAGAGGGCUCAACUUUAUUAAACAGCUCUUCUUGAAAAACAGUCCCUAGACAUAGACAAUCCCCUCUGAAGAGAGAGUCUGGAGAUGACAGGCGCUGCGAUCCCUGCCGGAUGGGUUUUCCGCCUGCACUGCUUAGCUAUGGAAGACAGGGGUUCCCACCCUUGAGUCUUCAGGCAGUGUUGGACUACAACUCCCAUCGGCCCCAGCCACAGUGGCCCUUGACCAGUGUGACUGGGGAUGAUGGGAGUUGUAGUGUUGAACUACAGGGGACGCAGGUUGAGAAGUUCUGGUUAAGAGACUAUGACGUCUUGGCCUUUAGUUAAACAGCUAGUUAAGAGAAGGUGUUGGGGCAUUUCCUGCAUGUGCAUCAGCCCUGACCUCACCCUAACCAUCUCAUCGCUACCUUCAACUCCCACAGAGCACAAAGCAGUGACUGCCGUUUCGAAGGGCUACCUUUUUGCUGCCAUCAUAUUUUGCUACCUUUGGAGAGAGGCUUGGGGUGGACACUGUAGGAGGGUUCUUAUUGCAAAGCUACCUCUGACCUCAAGGCUGAUCUGCCCCUCCCUUCUCACUCACAUGACCCUGAGCCUCACUCCAUGCUUGCCAUGUGCUGCCUCCCGGAAGCAGAAAUUGCCAUGAGGUUUCCAAGACGAAGCCUUGGGAGUGUCUGUUCUUCAGCUCAUGUGAUCGCUCAUCUGUCACUGCUGCUCCUCCUCCCAGCACGAGGCUGGGAUGUCCAUAAUGGGGGUGAUGCUGAUGCCCAUGAUUGUGGUGUGAGACCAUUUAAAUCUGUGCACACCUAAGCAAUGGUUCUUGAAGGUGUGGAGGAAUCAGCCUGCAAUGCCAGGGCUUGCUGGAGUCAGAGAUGGGCACAGUAGGGAUGUGCAAAUUUCAAUCGAUUCAAAUCUGGGUGGUUCAAAUUUGAAUCAAAUCACCCCUUCAAAGGGUAAUUGGCAACAAAUCUUUGAAAUUCAAUUCUAAUUUGAUUCAAGAGCCAUGUGGCAGCUUUUAAAAAACUAUUCAGGCCCCCUGAUUGGGUUUAAAAAAGAUGCAAACAUUGUCAAAUCAAUUUGAAUUUGAUUCAAAUUCAAAUUGAAUUUUUGGAUCCGAUUCAAAUUUGACUUGAAUCUGAAAUGAAUUUUCGGAAUUUGAUUUGUAUUCUAAACAAGUCAAAAAAUUCAUUUCAUGCACAUCUCUACCUAGCAGUUGUGUCAAAAACCAACCCUGGGUGUCGGAAUUUGAGUAUUGGGUGUCCUGUGCUUUGCUCUGUGCCUGCUGCCUGGUUGAAGACGAGGGUGCUGUGGGCAUGAAGAAGAGUGCCUUCCCUUUACUGGUCACUUCCUACAGCCACCUCUCCCACGUCAGGGAUUGUAGGAGUUGAUCUUCCAAGUCAGAGAAUGCAUCUCUCCAGUUAAUCUUUUUCACCCCUUAGGGCCAGGUUUCUCAACCUUGGGUCCCCAGAUGUCCACCAAUUUGUUCUUCAGGCAUUAGUCCCUAAUGCAGUUUGGUUUCCCAGAUGUUGGACUGCAACUCCCAUCAUCCAGGUCAUUGGGGCCGGGGAUAAUGGGAGUCGUCGUCCAACAUCUGGAGAACCAAACUGCAUUAGAUACUAAUGCCAAAUACCAAACUGGGGGACCUUUGCAUUAAGUACUAGUGGGAAUCUGGUUGCCAUUUCCUGGUGCAGAGACUACCUAUUUGUGUGUGUGUGUGUGUGAGUGUGUGUGUGUUGCAUUCUAGGGGCAUACAAACCAAUGGUACCAGUGUGGGGCUUUUUGCCCGGCUUGCCAGUCUUCUUUUAUGGCUACUGUAAUAUGCAGGGCAACAGAUCAGCUCUUUAACAGACUGUUAAAUCUGUGUGCACCUACAGAAAUGGUUCUUGAAGAUUGGAGAGGGGACCAUCUGGCUAUCCUCCCACCAACGAGUGAGAAAGAUGACAACUGAGCAAUGCCUUUUUCAUUCUACAGCUCUUAACGGAACAGUAGCACCCAUAGAUGACUAGGGUUGAUUCCUAAGGUGACAGAGGGCGAUCUCUUGGUUGAUCUCUAAGCGGAUCCAUUUGCCAUUCUAAACCUCUCGCCCUUGCCUCCAGUCUCUGCAUAGGUGAUGAGCAUAGACUGCUCACGACACCCCCAGAAAUGGAAUCACUCAUGAGGCUUCUUGCUCCUAACCCCACAGGGCUGGUAUUGACCUCCCUUCUGAAGCAUUUGCAAAGCAUGUCCUCAGUCUUUCAAGAUUGCCCCACCAGGGAAGGUAUGCAGGGUACAUGAAGGCCACACGUCGGAAGAGAGCAAGGAGGGAAGGGUGCCUCUUCCAGACCGUAGGUGUUUGAGUUGGGCCCUAGAGACGCUAAAGCAAACCCCAAUGCAGCCCCCUGUAGAAGGCACAAGAGCUGAAGGAGAGCUUAUGCCAACAUUUCAUGCACACGUCAUGACAUGAAAGCCAUCGUGUCCCAAAUAUGUGGCGAGGUGAUGUCGAAAGAUGUGCUUGAGGAAGUUACGUGGGAAAUUCCACCCAACAGCCUAAGUAUUUGUUUCCAGAAAUAAGCUUGGGUGCACCUUAGGUCUAUAGGGCAGGUGGGGGGGGGGGUUCCCUUCAGUCUCAACCAUCUCAUGGUCCUUUGCAGCACAUGCUUUUAAAAAAACAGAUGGCUCUCUUCAACCCCCACCCCCACCGCAGCCUAAAGGGGGUGACUUCAGCAGCUGUUAGCAGUCACAUCUCCCAAAUGCAACCCCGCCCCCAAAUGUAAUCUGUGCCUAGCAAAAGCAAGGAGAACCUGAUCCAUAGGAAGGGUAUUGGGAGAGGUAAGUAUGACCCAAGGAGAAGUGGAACAUCUCAACAAGGAUUGAGGAGGCCCCAUUGUGCCCCCCAUAGACAAAGCCUGUUAGCCACCUAGCCAGAAGCUGAGCCAACGAACUCCUUCAUUCUAGUGAGCCCAGCUUAUCAGUGGGCCUAAUUGCUCAUCAGAGGUGCUCUUACCCCUGGAUUUAGGGGCCAAAGUCCAGGACCUCCACAGCCCCUGGGGGCCCCCAAAUCCUAUUUGGUCUGUGCUGGGUGGUGUGGUCUUCCGGCCAAGCAUGAUGAUGCCUAAUUUGCAGGGUAGGGAGGCCUCCAAAGGCCUUUAGGUCCAGGGUCCAAAAUUACCUAGGUACACCUCAGCUGCUCAUCUACAAGGUGCCCUGUAGAUGUUCUGUGAUGACUACUCGUGCCCAGCUGAGGUCUCGUCCAUUCUUUGGGCAUUCCUCUACCUUUUCCAUUGAGUGGCUAUUCGGAAGGGACACUUCUUCUCCACUCCCCCCCCCCAAACAAAAAACAAAACAGGGCUUUCUGUUUCUGUCAUUCCAAAAGGAGCGUUUCCUCCCUGGUGGGAGCAGCGUUGGCAUUCCAGUGGAUUAUGAUUCUUUUGACUGAUCCUUCUUAUGAUUUCUUGUAGUAUAAUAAAGAACAACAAAUGGACAUUGUUAUCUCUGUAGCUCUGUAGUUAAUGAUAUUCUGCUUAGACUGAAAUAAAGCACAGUCCAGUGGGAAUUUGC